Molecule: long non-coding RNA, 278 nt
Organism: Sapajus apella (tufted capuchin)
Lineage: Eukaryota; Metazoa; Chordata; Mammalia; Primates; Cebidae
Exons: 3
Source: RefSeq, a predicted model, not a curated record
UUCACCAUUUUGAACAGUCUUAAUUUUCUAUACAGUAGGCUAACAUCUGUAAUUGCUAAAAAUUAAGCCACUUGCUAUUGAUUUUUGAAAUCCCUUUUUCACAUUUUUUUAAUUCUAAGAUCCUUUUUGAAAAGAAAGAAAGGGAGAAAAUCACAGCACACCUCAGACCUCUUUUGAGUUAAAGAUUAAUCAUGUAAUUCAAACCAUGGCGCAGCAUAAAGAUGGAAAGGUAAUUGGUCAUGUUAAAAGCAGUUUGCCAUGGAAAAUGUUUUGUUUCU